This is a transfer RNA of Camelus ferus (Wild Bactrian camel), 72 nucleotides long. It matches the Rfam family "tRNA". Rfam says of the family: Transfer RNA (tRNA) molecules are approximately 80 nucleotides in length. The record is from Rfam. NCBI's taxonomy places the organism in Eukaryota, Metazoa, Chordata, Mammalia, Artiodactyla, Camelidae.
GUGGUUAUAGUUCAGUGGUAGAGCACAUGCUUAGCAUGCAUGAGGUCCUGGAUUCAAUCCCCAGUACCUUCA